CCUACGGGGGGCUGCAGUCGAGGAUCUUCGGCAAUGGGGGCAACCCUGACCGAGCGAUGCCGCGUGCGCGAUGAAGGCCUUCGGGUUGUAAAGCGCGAAAGAGGGGAGAAUCUAUCCUCAGUAAGCUCGGGCUAAGUUCGUGCCAGCAGCCGCGGUAAGACGAACCGAGCGAACGUUGUUCGGAAUCACUGGGCUUAAAGGGCGCGUAGGCGGGCUGUCAAGUCUGGGGUGAAAUCCCGCGGCUCAACCGUGGAACUGCCUCAGAUACUGACGGCCUCGAGGGAGGUAGGGGCGAGCGGAACGGAUGGUGGAGCGGUGAAAUGCGUUGAUAUCAUCCGGAACUCCGGUGGCGAAGGCGGCUCGCUGGCCCUUCUGACGCUGAGGCGCGAAAGCUAGGGGAGCAAACGGGAUUAGAUACCCUUGUAGUC
This 428-nucleotide ribosomal RNA is filed under the name uncultured bacterium. Its description in RNAcentral is "partial 16S ribosomal RNA". It matches the Rfam family "Bacterial small subunit ribosomal RNA", at positions 338 to 795 of the family's 1533-position model. The record is from RNAcentral.